Quercus robur (English oak) is the source of this 1098-nucleotide long non-coding RNA. RefSeq lists it as uncharacterized. NCBI's taxonomy places the organism in Eukaryota, Viridiplantae, Streptophyta, Magnoliopsida, Fagales, Fagaceae. The record is from RefSeq and is a predicted model, not a curated record. The transcript has 3 exons.
UUUGUAUUUUUUUUUAAUGAUGUGGCAUGUUUUUUAUUAAAAAAUUAAAAAAAAGAAUUUACACAUUAAAAAAAAAAAGGAUCCAUUCUAAUUCAAGUCUUAAUCCUAACCCAGUACCCAAUUAAACUCAUUUACAAUCUGAUUCACAAACCCACGAGAGAGAGAUUGAACAGUUCCAAGUCUGCCAUUAUCUUUCAAAGCAAAGACAAAGAGCUCGAUAUCGAUCAUGGAGGAGAUGAUGAAGAAGAAGAAGAAGAAGAAGAUGAGGACGACUACAGUAUUCGCAACAACUGGACGAUACAAUUGUAUUUGGUGGCCGGAGACGGAGGAGUUUCUGUCGUGGCGGGGUGGUUGGAUCUCACUUCGACUUUCGGCAAAGCUGCGGAGCAGAGGAUCGUGCCUUAGCAGCAACAGAAACCUCUGGUCAAGAAGAGCCAACGUGGAAAAAGUCUUGAAGCUCACAGUAUCAAGGCGUUAUGUUUUAUCGAAGAACUAGUCGAUGGGAAUCGCAUAUUUGGGAUUGAGGAAAGCAAGUGUUUUUGGGAGGAUUUGACACUGCUCAUGCUGCUGAUAGGUAUAUAAAAAUGAACUGUUUCUGAUUAUUUUGAUUGCAAUGGUUGUAGUUUUUACUAUUUUGGAUAAAAUGAACUUGUGGGAAUGUUAUGGCAAUUCGGGUUUUUUCGAUCACGGGUGAUUGGGCUGCGAUCAAGUUUUGAGGAGUGGAAGCUGAUAUAAAUAUAGAUUUCAAUAUCAGUGACUAUGAUGAUGAUAUUAAGCAGGUUGAGUGUGAGAGUCUUGUGUAGUUUGAUUGGUGCAAGGUGGACCAUAACCAAGCCAUCAUGAGUUGCAGACUUGGUUGUAGCUGUGGAGGUACAGAAAGAUGGUAGCAAUAGCAAAGGCUACGAUAGAUGAGACAGCAGUAAAGGGAGAAAUCCGGUGCCCAAGGGGAUUGCAAGAAUUAGUGGAGGUGGAGAUAGUUAAAACUUGAACCCGAAUGUGAAGCCUCCAUUACCAAAAUGAGAGCAACUUUUGCUGUAUUGAAUGAUAAUUAAGUUGCACUCAUGCUUACAUUUAAGAAUAAAAGUUAAUUUUACUACA